UGGGGAAUAUUGCACAAUGGGCGCAAGCCUGAUGCAGCGACGCCGCGUGAGGGAUGGAGGCCUUCGGGUUGUAAACCUCUUUCGCCAGUGAAGCAGGCCAUCUUCUUUGUGGGGUGGUUGACGGUAGCUGAUAAGAAGCGCCGGCUAACUACGUGCCAGCAGCCGCGGUAAUACGUAGGGCGCGAGCGUUGUCCGGAAUUAUUGGGCGUAAAGAGCUCGUAGGCGGCUGGUCGCGUCUGUCGUGAAAUCCCCUGGCUUAACUGGGGGCUUGCGGUGGGUACGGGCCGGCUUGAGUGCGGUAGGGGAGACUGGAAUUCCUGGUGUAGCGGUGGAAUGCGCAGAUAUCAGGAGGAACACCGGUGGCGAAGGCGGGUCUCUGGGCCGUUACUGACGCUGAGGAGCGAAAGCGUGGGGAGCGAACAGG
This 424-nucleotide ribosomal RNA is filed under the name bacterium. RNAcentral describes it as "partial 16S ribosomal RNA". It matches the Rfam family "Bacterial small subunit ribosomal RNA", at positions 355 to 776 of the family's 1533-position model. The record is from RNAcentral.